GAUGAACGCUGGCGGUGUGCCUAAUACAUGCAAGUCGAGCGAACAGACGAGAGUGCUUGCACUCUCUGACGUUAGCGGCGGACGGGUGAGUAACACGUGGGUAACCUACCUAUAAGACUGGGAUAACUUCGGGAAACCGGAGCUAAUACCGGAUAAUAUUUAGCUUCGCAUGAAGCAAUAGUGAAAGACGGUUCUGCUGUCACUUAUAGAUGGACCCGCGGUGUAUUAGCUAGUUGGUGAGGUAACGGCUCACCAAGGCAACGAUACAUAGCCGACCUGAGAGGGUGAUCGGCCACACUGGGACUGAGACACGGCCCAGACUCCUACGGGAGGCAGCAGUAGGGAAUCUUCCGCAAUGGACGAAAGUCUGACGGAGCAAUGCCGCGUGAGUGAAGAAGGUUUUCGGAUCGUAAAACUCUGUUGUAAGGGAAGAACAAGUACGUUAGUAACUGAACGUACCUUGACGGUACCUGACCAGAAAGCCACGGCUAACUACGUG
This 499-nucleotide ribosomal RNA is filed under the name uncultured bacterium. Its description in RNAcentral is "partial 16S ribosomal RNA". It matches the Rfam family "Bacterial small subunit ribosomal RNA", at positions 28 to 507 of the family's 1533-position model. The record is from RNAcentral.